This 499-nucleotide ribosomal RNA is filed under the name uncultured bacterium. RNAcentral's name for it is "bacterial SSU rRNA". It matches the Rfam family "Bacterial small subunit ribosomal RNA", at positions 28 to 517 of the family's 1533-position model. The record is from RNAcentral.
GAUGAACGCUGGCGGCGUGCUUAACACAUGCAAGUCGAACGAAGAUGCCGGAGUGCUUGCACUUUGGCAGACUGAGUGGCGGACGGGUGAGUAACGCGUGGGUAACCUGCCUUAUACAGGGGGAUAACAGUUGGAAACGACUGCUAAUACCGCAUAAGCGCACGGUAUCGCAUGAUACAGUGUGAAAAACUCCGGUGGUAUAAGAUGGACCCGCGUCUGAUUAGCUAGUUGGUGAGGUAACGGCCCACCAAGGCGACGAUCAGUAGCCGGCCUGAGAGGGUGAACGGCCACAUUGGGACUGAGACACGGGCCCAAACUCCUACGGGAGGCAGCAGUGGGGAAUAUUGGUCAAUGGACGAGAGUCUGAACCAGCCAAGUAGCGUGAAGGAUGAAGGUCCUACGGAUUGUAAACUUCUUUUAUAAGGGAAUAAAACCUCCACGUGUGGGAGCUUGUAUGUACCUUAUGAAUAAGCAUCGGCUAACUCCGUGCCAGCAGCCG